UGGGGAAUAUUGCACAAUGGGCGCAAGCCUGAUGCAGCCAUGCCGCGUGUGUGAAGAAGGCCUUCGGGUUGUAAAGCACUUUCAGCGAGGAGGAAGGUGGUGAGCUUAAUACGCUCAUCAAUUGACGUUACUCGCAGAAGAAGCACCGGCUAACUCCGUGCCAGCAGCCGCGGUAAUACGGAGGGUGCAAGCGUUAAUCGGAAUUACUGGGCGUAAAGCGCACGCAGGCGGUUUGUUAAGUCAGAUGUGAAAUCCCCGGGCUCAACCUGGGAACUGCAUUUGAAACUGGCAAGCUAGAGUCUCGUAGAGGGGGGUAGAAUUCCAGGUGUAGCGGUGAAAUGCGUAGAGAUCUGGAGGAAUACCGGUGGCGAAGGCGGCCCCCUGGACGAAGACUGACGCUCAGGUGCGAAAAGCGUGGGGAGCAAAACAGGAUUAGAUACCCUGGUAGUCCACGCUGUAAAACGAUGUCGAUUUUGGAGGUUGUGCCCUU
Molecule: ribosomal RNA, 490 nt
Filed under: uncultured bacterium
Lineage: Bacteria
Description: partial 16S ribosomal RNA
Rfam family: Bacterial small subunit ribosomal RNA
Source: RNAcentral